This 468-nucleotide ribosomal RNA is filed under the name uncultured bacterium. RNAcentral's name for it is "partial 16S ribosomal RNA". It matches the Rfam family "Bacterial small subunit ribosomal RNA", at positions 28 to 507 of the family's 1533-position model. The record is from RNAcentral.
GACGAACGCUGGCGGCGUGCUUAACACAUGCAAGUCGAACGGAAAGGUCCUGCUUUUGUGGGCUCGUCGGGGUGCGACCGGGGGAGUAACCCGUGAGUAACCUAUACUUGACUGUGGGGUAACUUCAUGAAACUGGGGCUAAUCGCGGAUAGGAUCUCCUGCUGCUGGGUGGGGGUUGGAUAGUUUCGGCGGUUGGGGAUGGAAUGGCGUCUUAUGAGCUUGUUGGUGGGGUAGUGGAUUAGCAUGGCUUUGACGGGUAGCCGGCCUGAGAGGGUGAGCGGCCACAUCGGGACUGAGAUACGGCACGGCCUAGUACGCGACGCAGGGGUGGGGAAUAUUGCACAAUGCGAUGAAGGCUGAUGCAGCAACGCCGCGCGGGGGAUGACGGCAAUCGCGUUGUAAACCGAUUUCGUCUGUGACGAAGCGUGAGUGACGGUAAUGGGUAAAGAAGCACCGGCUAACUACGUG